CCUACGGGGGGCAGCAGUGGGGGAUAUUGCACAAUGGGGGGAACCCUGAUGCAGCGACGCCGCGUGAAGGAAGAAGUAUCUCGGUAUGUAAACUUCUAUCAGCAGGGAAGAAAAUGACGGUACCUGACUAAGAAGCCCCGGCUAACUACGUGCCAGCAGCCGCGGUAAUACGUAGGGGGCAAGCGUCAUCCGGAUUUACUGGGUGUAAAGGGAGCGUAGACGGUUAAUCAAGUCAGAAGUGAAAACCCAGGGCUCAACCUUGGGACUGCUUUUGAAACUGAGUAGCUAGAGUGCAGGAGAGGUAA
Molecule: ribosomal RNA, 305 nt
Filed under: uncultured bacterium
Lineage: Bacteria
Description: bacterial SSU rRNA
Rfam family: Bacterial small subunit ribosomal RNA
Source: RNAcentral